GUAGUAGCUCAUCCAAAAAGACGAUUUGGCAUCCCCAUGGAUCGGAUUGGUAGAAACCGGCUUUCAAAUUCUAGAGGCUAAUUGAUAUCAAGUAUGCAACUUCCUUGGGUGAAAUGACACAGAAAUGUGGAAGAUGCUUCCGUGAAGUUCUUCAUACUCCUUAAGCAUAAAAUUUUAAAGAACCAGCCUUCUGCAAAUCUUUUCCAAACCUUGAACUUCAGUCCAUCACGUCACAGUAUUGUUUUGGUUUCAUUAAAUUAUGCAGAUCACUUCAAUGCAUGUAUAUUUUAAAUAUGUAUGUUAAUUAUUCAGGCAUGGUUACCUGCUCRCCAGACCUCAUUUUUUUUAAUCACAUUCAAAAAGCAUGAUAUAGAGAAAUACCUUCUAUAAGUAUGUACAAUUCUUCUUCUUUUUUUUCAGUUAAAGAAUAGUAAUGAGAGAGAUUUGAGUCUUAAAACUAGAUAAAAUCUGUUUGUUCAUUAUUGGGUAGUAAGGAAAGGCCAUGAUGUGUAUUUUCGCUGGAGUACAUUCACYUGUCUCUUUUUCUUUGUCCAUAAACUUGUUGGUAAUAAUAAUAAUACUAGACUUUUAUCAUAUUCAAGUUUUGUCCACUUUAACCAAAUAAAACACAGCCCCAGUGAGCUGCAAAG
Urocitellus parryii (Arctic ground squirrel) is the source of this 650-nucleotide non-coding RNA. The record is from RefSeq and is a predicted model, not a curated record. Lineage: Eukaryota; Metazoa; Chordata; Mammalia; Rodentia; Sciuridae.